RNAcentral lists this unclassified non-coding RNA (332 nucleotides) under soil metagenome. RNAcentral's name for it is "partial contains 5.8S ribosomal RNA, internal transcribed spacer 2, and large subunit ribosomal RNA". The stretch from base 1 to 120 matches the Rfam family "5.8S ribosomal RNA", at positions 35 to 154 of the family's 154-position model. The record is from RNAcentral.
GAUGAAGAACGCAGCAAAACGCGAUAAGUAAUGUGAAUUGCAGAAUUCAGUGAAUCAUCGAAUCUUUGAACGCACAUUGCGCCCGCCAGUAUUCUGGCGGGCAUGCCUGUUCGAGCGUCAUUUCAACCCUCAAGCACAGCUUGGUGUUGGGACUCGCGUUAAUUCGCGUUCCCCAAAUUGAUUGGCGGUCACGUCGAGCUUCCAUAGCGUAGUAGUAAAACCCUCGUUACUGGUAAUCGUCGCGGCCACGCCGUUAAACCCCAACUUCUGAAUGUUGACCUCGGAUCAGGUAGGAAUACCCGCUGAACUUAAGCAUAUCAAUAAGCGGAGGA